GCUGGGCAUAGUGGCAUGUGCCUGUAACUCUAGCUGCUCAGGAAGGUGAGGCAAAAGAAUCACUUGAGCCCAGGAGCUUGAGAUAAGCCUGGUAAACAUAGAAAGAUUCUGCCUAC
Molecule: small RNA, 116 nt
Filed under: Marmota monax (woodchuck)
Lineage: Eukaryota; Metazoa; Chordata; Mammalia; Rodentia; Sciuridae
Source: RNAcentral